This 490-nucleotide small RNA is filed under the name Pongo abelii (Sumatran orangutan). Its description in RNAcentral is "retained intron". Lineage: Eukaryota; Metazoa; Chordata; Mammalia; Primates; Hominidae. The record is from RNAcentral.
CGCCGUGCUCUUCGAGGCCAUCAGCUUAAUCAUUCACCAUGACAGUGAGCCGAACCUGCUUGUCCGCGCCUGCAACCAGUUGGGCCAGUUCCUGCAGCACCGCGAGACCAACCUGCGCUACCUGGCCCUGGAGAGCAUGUGCACGCUGGCCAGCUCCGAGUUCUCCCACGAGGCUGUCAAGACGCACAUCGAGACGGUCAUCAACGCCCUGAAGACUGAGCGGGACGUGAGCGUGCGGCAGCGGGCCGUGGACCUCCUCUACGCCAUGUGCGACCGCAGCAACGCCCCACAGAUCGUGGCCGAGAUGCUGAGCUAUCUGGAGACAGCUGACUACUCCAUCCGAGAAGAGAUUGUGAGUUCUGGUGGCCUCUGAGUCCUCUCCUGCCACAGGCGUGAAUCUCAGCGGCAGGAUUUCCUUCGUGCUCUGCGAUUCUGUCCAGCAGGGCUUGAUUGAGAACCCAUGAGAUGCUGAAUACAAGGCUCCUCUGCC